Long non-coding RNA from Tupaia belangeri chinensis (Chinese tree shrew), 209 nucleotides. RefSeq lists it as uncharacterized. The record is from RefSeq and is a predicted model, not a curated record. The transcript is spliced from 2 exons. NCBI's taxonomy places the organism in Eukaryota, Metazoa, Chordata, Mammalia, Scandentia, Tupaiidae.
AUCUCUCUUUAUUACAUUUAGGAGGAUAAAAAAAAGCGAGAUCGAGACCGUGUGGAGAAUGAAGCCGAAAAAGACCUCCAGUGUCAUGCCCCCAUAAGAUUAGAUUUGCCUCCUGAGAAGCCUCUCACAAGCUCUUUAGCCAAACAAGAAGAAGUAGAACAGACACCCCUUCAAGAAGCAUUGAAUCAACUGAUGAGACAAUUGCAGAG